This 441-nucleotide ribosomal RNA is filed under the name Triticum aestivum (bread wheat). RNAcentral's name for it is "partial small subunit ribosomal RNA". Lineage: Eukaryota; Viridiplantae; Streptophyta; Magnoliopsida; Poales; Poaceae. The record is from RNAcentral.
AUGGCGUGGCCUCAGCACACCCGCCCAUGGCGCGGAUGGCCACACGUCGAGCAUCCGCCGGCAAGCCGAGAGGAUAAGGGACCACCCUCGUCCCUGGAUCGAACCCUAGCCCUAUCUUUUCCUUCCUCGCCCCUCUCUCGCUCGAUCCCAUCUCCACCCGAGCGUCACCGUCGUCAUGCCGCCUCCAUAGCCGCGGCCACCGUCGUCCCCUCGCCCACUGAGCGCGUCCUUCCGCUCCAUCGUCGACCACUGCCUCAACCACAACCACCAGAUGUACCAGGGAGCCCCUACAUCGACCGGAUCGAGGUCAUCUUCAACCUCCGCACCGCCGCUCACCGUCUUCGAUUCGGCCUCACCGGAGCCUCCUCGAGCCCGCUUUGCUCACCUACAGGAUCGAUACCCCAAGACUGCCGGCGACCCCCAGUUCGACUACUGUGUUGA